UGCAAAUCCGGAGACCAUCUUGACAUUAAUAAUCACCAUGUUGGAGGCCGGGCGCUUGCCUGUGUAACUGGACAAACGAGAGGGGAAAAAAAACAAUGUCAGCCACAGAUAGAUGCUGGAAGAUAUGUAUUCAAGGCCAUUGGCUUCCUAGACUUCGAACAGUAUCUUUUAAAUGUUAACCAUGUCACACCUGUUGUGGUCUGCCAGCAGCCUGCGGAGCUGGCAGCGGAGUCGGACAGUGAGGAGGCUGGGGAGGACAAUGGGCCAGUCCUGGAGUCAGGGGAAGGCCCAGACCAAGGCUCUGCAUCGGAGGCAGAGAUGGGGCCAGGGCCAUCUGGGAGCGAUGUGCAGACUCCGGAGCCUCCAGAGAUGGACAGCAGAGAGGAGGAGCCUUUUCCUAGUCUACGCAUGCGAAGAGCUGCCAGAAGGUGAGAGCAGCUAAAGCAAAAAGGACGACUUGGGAGUAAGGCCAGGAGAUUAUUUGCCCCUACCACAAGGCUUAAAAGAGCAGCAAUGGCUCUUGGGUUCUUUGUAGGAAAGCAACGUUGUUACAAUUUUUUUUGUCUCCUCUUUCUGAACUUUGUGGGGUUCUUGCCAAGAAAAGUUUUUGGCAGGGUGCCAAAGAAGACAAAGGUUUGUGAUAAGGCCGAAGGACUUUUUAUGAAGGACUAUUUUGGACUUAAUUUGGACUAAGCUGAGAAUGAAGUAAUUCUCAGCUGUUCUAAUAAAAUGUUUGCUUAGGACUGAUUGUGUCUGGUAAUAACUACUUGGGCUUAUGUCAGAAAACAAAGCCAUAAGGUGGCUGGAUUCACGCAACUACACAUUAAGAAAACACAUUUGUUUUGUGUGUGUGACAUGCAAUACCCUAAGGGUCCCCAACCCUCAGUUUGUGGACCGGCACCAGGCCUCAGCAUGCCAGCAACUGGGCCAUCUGCGGGAUGUAAGCAGCACACAAAACCACACAUCCCCCCCCACUCCAAUCCGCGAAAAAAACCUUUCUCCAUGGAACCGGUCCCUGGUGCCCAAAAGGUUGGGGGCCCACUGCUAUACCCAAAUAAAUAAGCCAUAUCAUAGCUUCACAGUUCACACAACUUGCUAAGGCAUUACAGGUAGUCCUCAACUUAUGACCACAACUGAGCCAAAAAUUUCUGUUGUGAAAUGAGACAUUUCUUAAGUGAGUUUUGCGCCAUUUCUUGCCGCAGUUGUUAAGUAAAUCACUGCAAUCGAUAAGUUCGUAACCCAGUUGUUCAGUGAAUCUGGAUUCCCCAUUGAUUUCUCUCGUCAGACGGUCACAUAAAGUGAUCACAUGACCGUGGGACACAACAACGGUCAUAAAGUGUAAACCACUGGCCAAGCAUCUGAAUUUUGACCACAUGAUUGUGGAGAUACUACAAAGUUUGUAACUGAAACUUGGUCAUAAGUCACAUUUUUCAUUGCCGUUUUUAACUUGGAAUGGUCACUAAAUGAACUACUAUAAGUCGAGGACUACCUGUAUUAGGUUCUUCACGAUAUAUGGGACCACAAACAAAUCGCAUUUGUUUUGGAUUAGAUUAGCAAGUUAUAUGAACCAAGGCUUCUGGGAGGAGGAGACGGUUCUUCAGACCCAAAGACACUGUCGGGCAUCAGGGCAUCCCUUGAAUGGCAGCCAGUUCCCCUUCGGCUGUGACCUAUUGAA
This is a long non-coding RNA of Ahaetulla prasina, 1675 nucleotides long. RefSeq lists it as uncharacterized. The record is from RefSeq and is a predicted model, not a curated record. Lineage: Eukaryota; Metazoa; Chordata; Lepidosauria; Squamata; Colubridae. The transcript has 3 exons.